UACGUAGGGUGCAAGCGUUGUCCGGAAUUAUUGGGCGUAAAGAGCUCGUAGGCGGCCUGUCGCGUCGGCUGUGAAAACUCAGGGCUCAACCCUGAGCCUGCAGUCGAUACGGGCAGGCUAGAGUCCGGCAGGGGAGACUGAAAUUCCUGGUGUAGCGGUGAAAUGCGCAGAUAUCAGGAGGAACACCGGUGGCGAAGGCGGGUCUCUGGGCCGGAACUGACGCUGAGGAGCGAAAGCGUGGGGAGCGAACAGG
Molecule: ribosomal RNA, 253 nt
Filed under: uncultured bacterium
Lineage: Bacteria
Description: partial 16S ribosomal RNA
Rfam family: Bacterial small subunit ribosomal RNA
Source: RNAcentral